Molecule: long non-coding RNA, 248 nt
Organism: Alosa sapidissima (American shad)
Lineage: Eukaryota; Metazoa; Chordata; Actinopteri; Clupeiformes; Clupeidae
Exons: 3
Source: RefSeq, a predicted model, not a curated record
AUAUUUUGUCUGUCUGUUAGGAACAUUAAAGGAACACGGCACCGUUUUAUGAAAUUGGGUUAUUCACCGUCUCCCCUAGAGUUAGAUAAGUGAGCAAAAGCAUUUUUGUCUCCGUGCAUGCGUUGUCUUAGUCCGUCAGCGCCUCUGCUAGCUUAGCAUAGUGAAUGGAAUCUCUCAUCGCCAAAUAGCAUGUUAUGAGUAAAAGUGAACCAAGUGAACAACAACAACAAAAAAUCCCUAACUUCUUU